Molecule: non-coding RNA, 987 nt
Organism: Leptonychotes weddellii (Weddell seal)
Lineage: Eukaryota; Metazoa; Chordata; Mammalia; Carnivora; Phocidae
Source: RefSeq, a predicted model, not a curated record
UCUCACUGGGAGAUGCUAGAGUCUUUCUACACGGCCUUUCCCACCUCUCCGGCUUCCCUCUCUGGCCGCUGCCCUGAGCCCGCCCUCGGUCGGCCCACAGGACAGCCACCACCCCCUGGGGCCCGUCACCCCCUCCCCGUCUCACCUGGCUUCCUGCCUUCGCUCCGACGCCGGUGUCGGACCAGGAGGAGGACGAGGAGGCUGAGCAGCAGGACGAAGGCCACUGAGACCCCGAUGAGGACGUACAGGAAUGGAAGCAAAAUAAAGUCAUUCUUAGAAGAAGAAACAUGGGGAGAAUUUGUUGCCAGCAGCUCUGCUCUACCAGAAAUGAUAAGAGUCCCGCUGGUAUGGUGGUGGGGCAACUCUACUCCGAAACGUCACCCCGCCCAGACACGACCCAGGCCACAAAGCUGUUGAUGACCACCGAAGAGACCACCUGUUGUGUUACAGGCCCGAACACGGCAUUAAUCUCGUUGAACAUCCCAUCAGAGCUCCUGGGUCACCAGGUGCAUUGUCAGGAUGGGUGUUGGGUACAGGCCUGAACACGGCAUUAAUCUCGUUGAACAUCCCAUCAGAGCUCCUGGGUCACCAGGUGCAUUGUCAGGAUGGGUAUUGUGUUACAGGCCUGAACACAGCGUUAAUCUCGUUGAAAAUCCCGUCAGAGUUCCUGGGUCACCAGGUGCAUUGUCAGGAUUGCUGUUGUAUUACAGGCCGGAACACGGCAUUAAUCUCGUUGAACAUCGCAUCAGAGCUCCUGGGUGACCAGGUGCAUUGUCAGGAUGGGGUGUUGUGUUACAGGCCCAAACACGGCAUUAAUCUCGUUGAACAUCCCUCAGAGCUCCUGGGUCACCAGGUGCAUUGUCAGGAUGGGUGUUGUGUUACAGGCCCGAACACGGCAUUAAUCUCAUUGAAAAUCCCAUCAGAGCUCCUGGGUGACCAGGUGCAUUGUCAGGAUGGCUGUUGUGUUAAAGGCCCAACCACGGCAUU